Molecule: long non-coding RNA, 310 nt
Filed under: Ananas comosus (pineapple)
Lineage: Eukaryota; Viridiplantae; Streptophyta; Magnoliopsida; Poales; Bromeliaceae
Description: long non-coding RNA (ACOM_LNC028020)
Source: RNAcentral
GGAUUUGCAUGUUUAUAUGAAAUCUGAAUUUUGAGCAUAAUCUAAGGAUUUUAGAUAAAUUAUAUAUGCUGAAGUGGGAUUUGACUUAGGAGAAAGCGAAUUAAACCUACACUGCCACUUUCGAAAUGUUAACAGAUUUAGCUUCAGGAUCUAAUUUUUUUGUUGUAUAACUGCUGUUAGUGCGUUGUGGAUACUUAGAUUAGUGUAAAGUGAGAUUACGCUCGUGUUGAAGAGCCGAGCUUUACAGUAGAGUUUGGACUGUUCCGUACUAUCGGGUGUCGUUGGGGCGGACGGUGGUCCCAGAUGUUUA